Molecule: unclassified non-coding RNA, 295 nt
Filed under: Hevea brasiliensis (rubber tree)
Lineage: Eukaryota; Viridiplantae; Streptophyta; Magnoliopsida; Malpighiales; Euphorbiaceae
Source: RNAcentral
GAUGCCUCCAUAUGAAGCUUUAUACGGCAGAAAGUGUAGAACUCCCUUGUGUGUGGGAUGAAGGGGGUGAGAGGAAGAUAAUUAGCCCCGAACUUGUGCAGCAGGCAGAAGAAAAUAUUAAGCUCAUUAGAGACAGACUCAAGGCGGCAUCGGAUAGACAAAAGUCCUACAUUGAUCUGAAGAGGAGAUAUUCAGUAUAGUGUGAGUGACAAAGUAUUCCUUAAAGUUUCUCCUUGGAAGAAGAUCAUGAGAUUUGGUAGAAACGGAAAAUUGAGUCCUCGCUUCAUUGGGCCAU